AUAGCAAAAAAGGCAUAUUAGUUGUUUUCCUAAAGAAUUUCCUGCGUAGCUUUUUGUCUGGUAAUAUUACUCUAUUAACUAGAGCAUACAAAACAUUUGCUAGACCAAUACUUGAAUACAGCUCAUCAGUCUGGAACCCGCAUUACGUAUCUGAUAUUAAUACAGUUGAGAAAGUCCAGAA
This is a non-coding RNA of Pseudonaja textilis, 181 nucleotides long. NCBI's taxonomy places the organism in Eukaryota, Metazoa, Chordata, Lepidosauria, Squamata, Elapidae. The record is from RefSeq and is a predicted model, not a curated record.